UAUCAGAGAGUACCGCCCUUCUCGCAAAAUAUUGAAAACCCUAACCAAUCUCUGCACAAAAUCUCAGUUUUAAAUGUGAAAUCGAAAUCCUCAAGCGACCAUUUAACUUUGUUCCUCUUGGGCAAAGGUUCAAAGGAGCAGUCCGUACACAUUUUCUUGCAGCAGACCACAUGAUAAGGGCAAAGGUUCAAAGGAGCACUUCUGAGGAAGAGAGGCCACAUGACAUCCAAGGUUUAAUUUGGCUCGUUUGAUGAAGACAAAGUUAAGUUUUACAAUUAUAACUAAUUAAAUUUCCUUUUU
This is a long non-coding RNA of Olea europaea var. sylvestris, 300 nucleotides long. RefSeq lists it as uncharacterized. The transcript has 3 exons. Lineage: Eukaryota; Viridiplantae; Streptophyta; Magnoliopsida; Lamiales; Oleaceae. The record is from RefSeq and is a predicted model, not a curated record.